Nomascus leucogenys (northern white-cheeked gibbon) is the source of this 524-nucleotide RNA transcript. It is a transcript of the gene named small nuclear ribonucleoprotein Sm D1 pseudogene, with no coding region annotated. The record is from RefSeq and is a predicted model, not a curated record. Lineage: Eukaryota; Metazoa; Chordata; Mammalia; Primates; Hylobatidae. The transcript has a single exon.
UUUGUACUGCAGUCGGUCAGUAUUUGGUUGUUGGAUUCUGAGCACUAUCGGACCCAAAGGGUGACGGCACCGCUAGGAUGAAGCUCAUGAGAUUUUUGAUGAAACUGUGCCAUGAAACUGUAACCAUUGCAUUGAAGAACAGAACACAGGUCCAUGGAACAAUCACAGGUGUGGAUGUCAGCAUGAAUACACAUCUUAAAGCUGUGAAAACGACCCUGAAGAACAGAGAACCUGUACAGCUGGAAACGCUGAGUAUUCGAGGAAAUAACAUUCGGUAUUUUAUUCUACCAGAUAGUUUACCUCUGGAUACACUACUUGUGGAUGUUGAACCUAAGGUGAAAUCUAAGAAAAGGGAAGCUGUUGCAGGAAGAGGCAGAGGAAGAGGAAGAGGACGUGGCCGUGUCAGAGGAAGAAGGGGUCCUAGGCGAUAAUAUCUCUCAAGAUUACUGUUUUGAAGUCAUAUGGGAUUUGGGAUAUUUUUUGCACAGGUUGUGUUUGUUUAUGUCAGUUUUUAAUAAACAUAA